RNAcentral lists this ribosomal RNA (231 nucleotides) under uncultured bacterium. RNAcentral describes it as "partial 16S ribosomal RNA". It matches the Rfam family "Bacterial small subunit ribosomal RNA", at positions 103 to 334 of the family's 1533-position model. The record is from RNAcentral.
CGGGUGAGUAACGCGUGAGGAACCUGCCUUGAAGAGGGGGACAACAGUUGGAAACGACUGCUAAUACCGCAUGACGCAUAGAGGUCGCAUGAUCUUUAUGCCAAAGAUUUAUCGCUUCAAGAUGGCCUCGCGUCUGAUUAGCUAGUUGGCGGGGUAACGGCCCACCAAGGCGACGAUCGGUAGCCGGACUGGGAGGUUGAACGGCCACAUUGGGACUGAGACACGGUCCAA